Molecule: unclassified non-coding RNA, 2012 nt
Filed under: Gigantopelta aegis
Lineage: Eukaryota; Metazoa; Mollusca; Gastropoda; Neomphalida; Peltospiridae
Description: zinc finger protein 263-like, transcript variant X7
Source: RNAcentral
GUGACCUCUUCCUGAAUGGAAGCGUCGUGGAAUUUGGAGCAGCUUUUUAAUGAAAAAUGCUGGAAAAAGUCGCUUAAUAUCUGAAAGGCUCAAUAAUAACGGAUCAUAUUAAAUAUUACCAGACACAAUGGACAAGCAAUAUUCUGUCCAGUUUUUUACCAAGUUUGUGGAAGCGAUGCAGAAGUUCUGCCGAGACUAUAUUGAAUUUGAACAGGCAGUGGAGCUGAGUGGCUACCUUUCUCUGGAGAUAGACAAUUACAAGAAGGAGAGAUAUGUUCUCAGUGAGAUGGUUCACAGUACUGGUGAUGUGAUCAGUGAGAGUUACUGUGUGAAAGCCUUCAAGACUAUGAAACGUUUACCUGUUAUCAGAGACCAUACAAACACUCUACGGUUAUCUCAGGAUGAUUCAAUAGAUUUAAGAGACAGCCCACCACAGUAUGGCAUUCCCUAUCAGACAACAUCUUCUAGGCAGAGGACACAUAUUCACCAAACAUCACCUAACAGGCAUAACAUAUCUAGUCAACAGUCCUACAGGCAGACUAUGAACAGAAGACAUAACCCUCCAUCAUUUGCUUCUGGGGGACAAAAUUCUAAUGCCUUCACCACCUCAUCAUCUUCAUCAGCUCAGUUGGAAGAGCCAUCGACAAUCCAACCCCGCCAAUCUGUCCAGUAUUUAACUAGUGCAUCUCACUCAAGUCCUGUUAUGGCUCUUGUUCCAUCACUGGAUGAUGUAGAAGCCGAUCACAGCAGCGGUACGUCAAACAUGAAUCCACUUGUGUCGUCUGCAGAUAACAUUCAAUCAGAUGAAAGCAGAGGACAAAAACGAAGUACUGUGCAAGAAGAGACCAGUCCAAAUAAAAAAGAAAAAUUAGAUAAUGAGCUUGAAUCCUUAUUCAGUGCUGCAACAAGCAUCGUUACUGUCAGUGAAGGAAAUGUUGACUUCUCUACAACGGUUGGUGAAAAAGUGCCUCAGUCUCAAGAUGUUAACCUAGAUAUUCCAAAUAGUGACCAGUCCACUUCACAAUCUCACUCAGUGAGUGAAAGUUUACGUCUGCCUGAAAGUAUUCAAAUCAAAGAGGAGGUUGAUCCAGACAUUAUGUUUAUAGACAGUCCUGGUGACAGAUCUGGUUCUGAACCUGGUGGUUAUGGUGCAGAUGCUCAGAGUUUCACAUCCUCAGCAGAAGCAGCAUCAUCUGAUCCCAAGUCUUUACAGACUGUUCACAACCAGCGAUGUAGAGAUCCUCUACCAAUGUCCAGCAAUGUUGCACCAAUACAUCCUGGUACGCCAUGUGGCAGUGAUCAGGAUUCUCACCCUCGCCGGGUUUUUGAGCAUGUAGGAAAAGAGACCCUCUCGAGUACAUCAAGAUUCUCAUAUACCGAUGUCCACCAUACCAAAAAAUUCCGGUGUGAUUAUUGUGAAUAUGAAACUUUGUACCCAUUUGCACUGAAAAGACACCGAAGAAAACACACGGGUGAAGCCUAUUUCUGUGACUUGUGUCCUAAGCAUUUCUGGGAUCGAAGUAAACUCAUUUACCAUAUGAAGGGGCACCGAGGAGAGCUUGUUUGUAAAUUCUGUUUGAAACAAUUCCAGACAAAGAAUGGGCAGUACAGGCACGAAAUGACAUGUCCUACACUUCGUUCUCGUCAUGUGGCCAAGAAUGAACAUUCAACAUUAUAAACAUGGAGUGCGUGUUUUGAAGAUAAUUGUGGCUCUUUCUGAUCAGGAAGACUGCUUGACGGACCAUAAUUAGUUCACACCAACACAUUUAUGACUUAUUAUUAGACAUAUAACCGGACUGUUCAUUGUCUUUGAAAAUCGGAGGCUGUUUGAGAGAAGUAGUUGGCUGUGUUUACUGAAUGUUGGGAAAUUUAUAUUUAAUACAUCUGUAUACAGAAUUCACACUGCCAACUUUAUGGCAGGGUCUGCCAAAUACCGAGCCGCAAUGGAUAAGACCAUGCCAGGGAACUUGGCCCCCAUGAAGAAGCGAAAGACUCAUAAAUGUGACUUGUGU